Molecule: transfer RNA, 62 nt
Filed under: Dindymus rubiginosus
Lineage: Eukaryota; Metazoa; Arthropoda; Insecta; Hemiptera; Pyrrhocoridae
Description: tRNA-Gly
Source: RNAcentral
ACUUUUUUAGUAUAAAAAAAUAUAUUUGAUUUCCAAUCAAAAGAUCUUUAAAAGAAAAAGUA